Long non-coding RNA from Astatotilapia calliptera (eastern happy), 1495 nucleotides. The record is from Ensembl. NCBI's taxonomy places the organism in Eukaryota, Metazoa, Chordata, Actinopteri, Cichliformes, Cichlidae.
AGAGUUCUUUGUUCUUGGCACCAGGAUGUGCCUGGCUUUUAACAUCAUAAUUUUAGGAAAACUAACAGGGAGAGGUUACAAAAUUAAAAAGGGCAUUUUAUUCUUUUAAAUAUGGUACUUGUAGUGAAAUGAAGCAAGAUAAUGGCUGUAAGAUGAGGAACAAGAAAAACAUUUGGCUUCUUUUAUUAGCACUCAAAACACCUGAAAUUCAUUGGAGAGUUAAUACUAAGCUCACGGUACAUGCAGCUGUGCCUUCAAUAGAUCCACGAGAGUCACUUGGGAUACUCAGACUAUUUUUAUUUUGAUGAAUGUGCAGCAAAAAAUAACUAAUUUCCUGUCUGCCUCAGAGCCAUCUUCACAGAAAGAGCUUCUCCUCUGGAGCUGACUGCACAUUUCCAUCACCUGCUUGCACUGCCAUAUAACACCAGCAUUGACUUUGGUACUCAACACUACCGGUAAUAGGUUAACGUUUAAUAACUCUGAAUUAUUACCAUACCAGCAAUCGUGCCAACAACCAGUGGCUAAUUUCUAUAACUAACAAAUAUGACAAGUAUAUAAUUGGAAUGUGGGCUUAAACAUGCUCUUGGUUUAGAAGCACUGCUGCUGUCAUUGAGUUAAGCCUCGCUGUAACAACAGCUUGUCAGUCCUUCUACUGUUUGAGCUGAAAAAGGUUUAAAAAAAAAAAAAAAAAAAAAAAAAAAAAGGCCUUUAAACUACUAUACAUGUGCAAAGUUUCACAACAUCGUUACUUCAUUAACAGCUGAAUCCAGUGAGCCUACGACAGCGCUAAACAAAUGACAUGCUAAUUCACGUUACGAACAGAAUAAGCACAGUUAGCUACUUCUUUACUAUGGGAAGGAGCAGAGGUAUAUGCUUGCCACCACACAGCUAAAACUAUCAAAAACCUCUACUAGGUGCACGUGCCGUAACAACAACAAGAUGACUGACAUUUCCCAUUUGGAUUUCUGGCUCUUUAGGGUAAGCUCUGAUUUGCCCCAUAGAUUUUUGAUUCAGGAUUCUUUGCUUUGAGUCAACAGUGACACCGUAUGCAAAAUUAGAAAGACACCUUGCGAUAGUGUGCAAAUCAAGUUCCCGCUCACCAUGUUUGUCCAGACUUACAGAUUUACUUUAAUAUAAGCUUUGAAGAAAUGCAAUAGAUGGGCACCAAAGAUUUGUAUCCAACCAAAUGAGAGUGUUGUGGUUCUGAAAAAUGUCAAAAAAGUGUUUUUGCAGAACAUUACAAUAUAACUGUAAUUAUGACCUUUGAUCUUUUGGCCAGGAAGUCUCAUGACAUCAUCACUUUAUACACCAAUUAUAACAAAAUUUUGGCCGAUAAUUAAGAGAUAAAGUUUUCAGAUAUGGCAGAAAAGCUCUUUGUGCAGCCUCGGUGACCCUGACCUUUGACCACCAAAAUCUAAUCAGUUCUUUCUCGAAUGCAAGUGAUGGUUUUGUGUCAAAUGUGAAGAAAUUCCCCUUAGGCACUCCUGAGAUAUCG